This 72-nucleotide transfer RNA is filed under the name Myxococcales bacterium. RNAcentral describes it as "tRNA-Val". It matches the Rfam family "tRNA". Rfam says of the family: Transfer RNA (tRNA) molecules are approximately 80 nucleotides in length. Their secondary structure includes four short double-helical elements and three loops (D, anti-codon, and T loops). Further hydrogen bonds mediate the characteristic L-shaped molecular structure. tRNAs have two regions of fundamental functional importance: the anti-codon, which is responsible for specific mRNA codon recognition, and the 3' end, to which the tRNAs corresponding amino acid is attached (by aminoacyl-tRNA synthetases). tRNAs cope with the degeneracy of the genetic code in two manners: having more than one tRNA (with a specific anti-codon) for a particular amino acid; and 'wobble' base-pairing, i.e. permitting non-standard base-pairing at the 3rd anti-codon position. Lineage: Bacteria; Pseudomonadati; Myxococcota; Myxococcia; Myxococcales. The record is from RNAcentral.
GGGCGUAUAACUCAGCGGAAGAGUGCCACCUUCACACGGUGGAAGUCGCAGGUUCAAAUCCUGCUACGCCCA